RNAcentral lists this ribosomal RNA (938 nucleotides) under Mrakia frigida. RNAcentral's name for it is "LSU rRNA". It matches the Rfam family "Eukaryotic large subunit ribosomal RNA", at positions 38 to 965 of the family's 3401-position model. The record is from RNAcentral. Lineage: Eukaryota; Fungi; Basidiomycota; Tremellomycetes; Cystofilobasidiales; Mrakiaceae.
GCAUAUCAAUAAGCGGAGGAAAAGAAACUAACAAGGAUUCCCCUAGUAACGGCGAGUGAAGCGGGAUGAGCUCAAAUUUAAAAUCUGGCGGCCUCAGGUCGUCCGAGUUGUAGUCUAGAGAAUCGUUUUCCGCGUUGGCCUGUGUACAAGUCCCUUGGAACAGGGCGUCAUAGAGGGUGAGAAUCCCGUCCUUGACACAGACUACCAAUGCUUUGUGAUGCGAUCUCGAAGAGUCGAGUUGUUUGGGAAUGCAGCUCAAAAUGGGUGGUAAAUUCCAUCUAAAGCUAAAUAUUGGCGAGAGACCGAUAGCGAACAAGUACCGUGAGGGAAAGAUGAAAAGCACUUUGGAAAGAGAGUUAAACAGUACGUGAAAUUGUUAAAAGGGAAACGAUUGAAGUCAGUCAUGCUUUCCGAGACUCAGCCGAUUCUGUCGGUGUACUUCUCGGUUGGCAGGCCAGCAUCAGUUUCGAUCUGUGGAAAAGGUUGGAGGGAACGUGGCAUCCUCGGAUGUGUUAUAGCCCUUCUUCGAAUACAUAGAGCGGGACUGAGGAACGCAGCGCGCCUUUUAUUAGGUUGGCCCUCGGGUACAUACGCGCUUAGGAUGCUGGCAUAAUGGCUUUAAACGACCCGUCUUGAAACACGGACCAAGGAGUCUAACAUGUUUGCGAGUGUUUGGGUGGUAAACCCGAACGCGUAAUUAAAGUGAAUGCAGGUGGGAUCCGCAAGGAGCACCAUCGACCGAUCUGGAUCUUUUGUGAUGGAUUUGAGUAAGAGCACAUAUGUUGGGACCCGAAAGAUGGUGAACUAUGCCUGAAUAGGGCGAAGCCAGAGGAAACUCUGGUGGAGGCUCGUAGCGAUUCUGACGUGCAAAUCGAUCGUCAAAUUUGGGUAUAGGGGCGAAAGACUAUCGAAACAUCUAGUAGCUGGUUCCUGCCGAA